RNAcentral lists this ribosomal RNA (465 nucleotides) under uncultured bacterium. RNAcentral's name for it is "partial 16S ribosomal RNA". It matches the Rfam family "Bacterial small subunit ribosomal RNA", at positions 28 to 507 of the family's 1533-position model. The record is from RNAcentral.
GACGAACGCUGGCGGCGUGCUUAACACAUGCAAGUCGUACGGUAAGGCCCUUUCGGGGGUACACGAGUGGCGAACGGGUGAGUAACACGUGAGUAACCUGCCCACAACUUUGGGAUAACGCUAGGAAACUGGUGCUAAUACUGGAUAUGUGCUCCUGCCGCAUGGUGGGGGUUGGAAAGCUCCGGCGGUUGUGGAUGGACUCGCGGCCUAUCAGCUUGUUGGUGGGGUAGUGGCCUACCAAGGCGGCGACGGGUAGCCGGCCUGAGAGGGUGACCGGCCACAUUGGGACUGAGAUACGGCCCAGACUCCUACGGGAGGAAGCAGUGGGGAAGAUUGCACAAUGGGCGCAAGCCUGAUGCAGCAACGCCGCGUGCGGGAGGACGGCCUUCGGGUUGUAAACCGCUUUCAGCAGGGACGAAGCUUUUUGUGACGGUACCUGCAGAAGAAGCACCGGCUAACUACGUG